GUGAGUAACACGUGGGUGAUCUGCCCUGCACUCUGGGAUAAGCCUGGGAAACUGGGUCUAAUACCGGAUAGGACCAUGCUUUAGUGUGUGUGGUGGAAAGUUUUUCGGUUGUAGGAUGAGCCCGCGGCCUAUCAGCUUGUUGGUGGGGUAAUGGCCUACCAAGGCGGCGACGGGUAGCCGGACUGAGAGGCUGGUCGGCCACAUUGGGACUGAGAUACGGCCCAG
Molecule: ribosomal RNA, 225 nt
Filed under: uncultured Actinomycetales bacterium
Lineage: Bacteria; Bacillati; Actinomycetota; Actinomycetes; Actinomycetales
Description: partial 16S ribosomal RNA
Rfam family: Bacterial small subunit ribosomal RNA
Source: RNAcentral